UGGUUUCUCCCUUCUGACGAACCAUGAUGUCAUUUAUUUGGUGUUGUGGGGAAUCAGGACUGUUACUUUGAAAAAAUUAGAGUGUUUAAAGCAGGCUCACGCUUGAAUACAUUAGCAUGGAAUAAUGAAAUAGGACGUUUGAUUCUAUUUUGUUGGUUUCUAGGAUCGACGUAAUGAUUAAUAGGGAUAGUUGGGGGCAUUAGUAUUCAAUUGUCAGAGGUGAAAUUCUUGGAUUUAUUGAAGACUAACUACUGCGAAAGCAUUUGCCAAGGAUGUUUUCAUUAAUCAAGAACGAAAGUUAGGGGAUCGAAGACGAUCAGAUACCGUCGUAGUCUUAACCAUAAACUAUGCCGACUAGGGAUCGGAUGAUGUUAAUUUUUUAAUGACUCAUUCGGCGCCUUACG
RNAcentral lists this ribosomal RNA (404 nucleotides) under uncultured Glomeromycotina. Its description in RNAcentral is "SSU rRNA". It matches the Rfam family "Eukaryotic small subunit ribosomal RNA", at positions 690 to 1092 of the family's 1831-position model. Lineage: Eukaryota; Fungi; Glomeromycota. The record is from RNAcentral.